CAAUACGGAGCGGCAGACGGGUGAGUAACGCGUGGGAACGUGCCCUUCGGUUCGGAAUAACUCAGGGAAACUUGGGCUAAUACCGGAUACGUCCGAAAGGAGAAAGAUUUAUCGCCGAAGGAUCGGCCCGCGUAAGAUUAGCUAGUUGGUGAGGUAACGGCUCACCAAGGCUCUGAUCUUUAGCUGGUCUGAGAGGACGAUCAGCCACACUGGGACUGAGACACGGCCCAGACUCCUACGGGAGGCAGCAGUGGGGAAUAUUGGACAAUGGGCGCAAGCCUGAUCCAGCCAUGCCGCGUGAGUGAUGAAGGCCUUAGGG
RNAcentral lists this ribosomal RNA (319 nucleotides) under uncultured bacterium. RNAcentral's name for it is "bacterial SSU rRNA". It matches the Rfam family "Bacterial small subunit ribosomal RNA", at positions 86 to 422 of the family's 1533-position model. The record is from RNAcentral.